UCAAACAUAUCGAAAAGUAGAGUAGAUUGUGGCGCGUGCUCAGAGAGUUUCCGGUUGGUGCGAGGAAAUUCGUUAAGCAGUCGAAGAUGGGCUUGGAAUGGUACUGGCGAUAUUUAGCCGGUAACGGGGUUGCAGCCGUUAUCAAUGCAAGGUGAUUUUUUUAAGUCACCUACUGAGGCUUAAUUUGCGAGAAUUAGGCAAAAAAAGGUGGUACCGCGAAACACUCGUCCUUUUU
The sequence is a regulatory RNA element, 235 nucleotides long. It matches the Rfam family "T-box leader". From Rfam's summary of the family: Uncharged tRNA acts as the effector for transcription antitermination of genes in the T-box leader family. The record is from Rfam.